GGAUGCGAUCAUACCAGCACUAAAGCAUCGGAUCCCAUCAGAACCCCGAAGUUAAGCGUGCUUGGGCGAGGGUAGUACUAGGAUGGGUGACCUCCUGGGAAGUCCUUGUGUUGCAUUCC
This 119-nucleotide ribosomal RNA is filed under the name Triticum aestivum (bread wheat). The record is from RNAcentral. Lineage: Eukaryota; Viridiplantae; Streptophyta; Magnoliopsida; Poales; Poaceae.